GCGUCCGUCGUUGGGGAGUAGCCGAUUUCCGCCGUGCGGAAAUGUACGUGUCAACAUACUCGUUGCAAAACGUGGCACGUACGGACUGAACAUUUUCAGUCAGGCGAGACCAUUGACACACCAACUGCUGUUUACUGGGGGCAGUGGUGUGUUAUAUGGAACUCCCGGUCAGGAC
This 175-nucleotide small RNA is filed under the name Enterobacter cloacae. RNAcentral describes it as "Manganese sequence". It matches the Rfam family "Manganese Mn2+ riboswitch aptamer (yybP-ykoY)". From Rfam's summary of the family: This RNA was originally discovered in E. coli during a large scale screen and was named SraF. Lineage: Bacteria; Pseudomonadati; Pseudomonadota; Gammaproteobacteria; Enterobacterales; Enterobacteriaceae. The record is from RNAcentral.